Gallus gallus (chicken) is the source of this 3925-nucleotide long non-coding RNA. RefSeq lists it as uncharacterized. The transcript is spliced from 3 exons. The record is from RefSeq and is a predicted model, not a curated record. Lineage: Eukaryota; Metazoa; Chordata; Aves; Galliformes; Phasianidae.
CUGAGGAAGUUACGUUGAAACAUAUGGCAUUUCAUGAUACUUUUAUGGCUGUCUCAGUAUUAUAUAAAUGCUGUAGCUUAAGUGAUAUUAAUUCUGUAUACAUUUUACUGAGGUUACAGUCUAGCUUGCUGAGGGUGGUAUGAGCCAUCUCUGAGGUGGGACUCCAAGGCACCAGGCCAGCAGCAUCCAACUUCUGGCUUGCCUGGGCCUCACUGAGUGAAAAGGAUUUGCCACAGGCCGUGUAUGCAGCGGUCACACCGAAAGUAGUGCCUCCUAUUUGCCUCCAUGGAAAUGACAGCAAACACGAAGCACAACGGCAGUGUUUGUUAGGGCAGAUUCUCAGCUACAAAGCACUGUAGGUGCCCCACUGUUGCUGUCACCUCUGCUGAGGAGGGUGCAAGGGUGGAAUUAAUCUUAAAAAAGUAUGGAUGGAGGUCAUAUAUUAAAAUAAACAUUAUAUUUGCAUUUUAUAUUCAUGCCAUAGGCCUAGAUUUUCUGUUACUUUCAUUUAAUGCCUUCUGCAUGGCAACAAACAGACAAACAAAUACAUAAAGAGAGAAAAGAAAAUGAGAGUGUAAUGUGCCCUAUGGUGCUCUGGUGAGAGUGUAAGCUGAUGAUUGGCACGACAGCGUGAUCGUGGCUGACUUCGAUUUUCCAUUACAGACAAUGAAUGGUUGUCUGUCUGUCUGAAGAACAAAGGGAUGAGCACAUAAGUCUUUAAAGAUUUUGAAAGUCUUCCCAGCUGUCUCUGCCAGCUCCCGUGGACAGGAGAUGAUUAAUAUUGAUUAAUAAUACAUCCCGAAUUAAUCAUUACAAGAGAAUUGUUUUGCUCAGAUAAGCAAACUCUUCCUACUCGGGAGUGACAGACCGGUGCGUUUUGAUUGUAUCUUUGAGCUGAGCGUCGCUGCAAAGCAAAAGUGUAAUGAUGGAUAUGUCUUUAUCAACCUGUUCCCUGCAUUGUGUCUUUAUCGCUGCCAUCUGCUCUGCUGAGAGUGGCAGCUGCCAGGUCUCACAAAUAGCACUACCAUGUACUUUCAUGUAGAACAACAUAUUGUCGUAAUUUCUCUGAUAUUAUGAGAUGGAAUAACUUUCCAUGAGUUAAGGUGACAUUUUGCUUGGUGCUUUGGAAUGCAUAUUACUGCAGUGUGUGUAGGACACACAGUGUUCCUUCUGGAGCAGGCUAUAAAAGCACACCCAGUCCUACUUCCAGAAAUCAUUGGAAAAUGCUUCUUUUUCCAAAAAUGUUAUGAAACACCCAUCUGGGACAUACGUGUCAGUGCUAAGAUGCAAAUGAGACAUAUUCGCUAUUAGUGUAGCUCACUGUAUGCAGCCUUGGUUACCUUUGUUGGAUGGAACUUUUCUAAGUCACGCUAUGUUAAAAAUACAGUUAUUUCCUUCUUUGCUUAUAUUGGUUUGAAUCUCCUUUAUAUUUGCAAACACGUUCCAACGGCUUCUUCAACAUUAAAGGAAACAAACAAUCUGUAUGGCAGUAAGUUCUCCUUCUGUUGUUACAGCUCGACCCAGGGUGGGGGUUUGAUUUCAUUUCAUGAGGUGUCCAGUGUCAGCUACUCCUCUGGGCUCUUGAGAGAUUGGAAAGAGGUGUCUUCAACAUGGACUUUGCCAUAGCAUGAUAGAUAUAUCAUAUCCUGAGAUAGGAUGAUUAUGGCAGACAGGCAAGUGGAAUAAAUUAUUCUCUGUGGGUGUCUGUUUCUCUCCUCAGGCUACAGAAGGAAGCUAAAAGACUAACUUAGAUGACCUCCUUGCUUUUCAGGCAGAUAAAUGUAGGUGAUCUGAAUCACAUACUGAAUAUUUGCCAAGGCAUCCUCUUGUUCUGUGCAUCUGCUUGUGCAUUAAGUGUAGCAAAAUAUUUGGUAUAGUCCAUCUGCACGGAGAUGUGUCUGCUAUCUUAAAAGUAAAGAGAUGUAUUCUCUUACAUAUUUAACUCAUUUUUUUUGGACCAAGAUGACCAGAAAACCAGGCCAGAGAAAAGCCUCUUGGUAUCUAAGCGAGGCUGUAUACUCUAGAAAUACUGGAAAAGUUGCAUUUUGCUCCAGUAGAGCAUUCCAAGAGCUGGUAAAGGCUCCUGGCUUCAUCCUGAUCUUGAGCUUAUAUCAGACCACCUUUUUAUCCCAAGGGUAAGAAAGUCCUUUUAAUAAAUUACUCUUUAUAUUAUGCACGUAUACCUUGAGAAGAAGAAUAUAUAUGUAAACACUUUUUUCCUUCCUCCCGAGAUUUACUACACCCAUUGGAAACUUCUGUUUGAUUUAUCCUCCAGACUGGGGCUAUAAAUGCUGCAUGAAUUUGUUUUUGUACUCUGUUUUAAGUAUAUUUAGAAGUGUACACAGUUAUUUGUGCUCAUACAUCACAUUCUUAUUAAUGAGCAGAGUAUAAUUAUCGGUCGUAUUGACUUUUGUUUCUCUGGAUGUUUUAAAAAGAUAUUUAAAAGGCUUUGCUGGAGUUUGCAUCUGCUUCAGAAAUUAAAUUUAGUCUGUGAUUUUAUUACCCUUUUUAUUUAAUUUAUCUUAACUGUUGCUUUCAAGCUGUGAACCAGCUGUUGACUUUGAAAAAAAAAAAAACAUUGUUCAAUUUGAAAGGAGCAUUUUAAAGCUUAAUGUAAUGGCUGUAAGUAAUCACUACAGCAAUUAUAUUCUAUGGUGUUGUGCGUCACUAUAAUAAUACUGGAGGUUGUGAGAAAAUGCAAGAGAGAAACACAUCAAGCUCAGACUUUUCAGUGUUGCCUGCGAUGCCUGCUGCCUCUCUGCUUUGUAUAUAGUUUGGUGCCACUUGGCUUAAAUCAUAGCAGAAAAACUGAAGCUCCAUUCUGUUGUGGUGCUGUGUGUGCCCAGCAGGAAACAGGAGGCUUUUUCUUAGCCUUGUUCUCUGUCAUUCUUUUCAAAAUGGAAGUAUUUUUUUCUUUCUCCAUACUGGCAGACUGCAGAUAGAUGCUCGCUGCGGUGGCAGGAAUGCCUGCUGCUCUGCUGCCUCCUCCUGACUAGAUCCAGGAUGUUGUAUGUGACACUGAGUGGAAUUUGGGUUUUGGCUCUUCUGGAGCAACACCACCACCCACCUUGCAUGGUGCGAGUGGUAGCAAAGCUCCUUGUGGAGCAUCCAGAGGGUCUGGCCGGAGCUGGAGUACUUGGCAUCUUGCAAAGUCAGGUCACACUGCUAUUUAUUCUUAAAAUGAGCAGCUACUUGGCAAGGUGAGGAGAAAUAAUAGAAAAAGUUACGGUUGUGUUUUCAUCCAUGCAAUGGAAAGAGAUAUCCUCCAUUUGUGAGCUCUCUGGUUCAAGCCAGCUGGGCCUGUUGGGAAACUUUCUGGUCCACUGCAGAGAAGAUAACAGAAGCAGCAUGCAGUCAGAGCCCCUUUGUGUUGUAACAAACCAUGAAAGCGCUGUGCAGAUUCCUCUGCCCUGGAAUUUCUCCCUGUGGUGAUUUAAAAGGAAAUGUAAUAUGCAUCAUUGUUGGAGUGGGCUGCAUUUCUCAUGAAGGCUGUGUUGCCAGCAGCAGAAGCCAGAUCUAAAGAAAGGAGACAAGUGCCUUGCUGUAUGGAUGUCAGAUUCCACUGGAAGUCAGCAAGUGAACCCCUGAUCUGGAGAAAAGUAUUCCAAAGCAAGAAAAAACCCAGACAUUCACCACUGAGCCUCAGAACGGCUGCUGGAAUAAGAAAAUGCAGAACAGUGAUUUGAACAACAGAACCUCUGAGCUCAGCGACUGGAAUUCCCAAUUACAGACAUACUGCUGUUUCUCCUCCCUCAACACAGAUGUUUAGCUUGAUCACUCCCCCAAGCCCAGUGAGACAAGCUCUGUGAAGGAUGCGGAGCUAUGCAUGCUCCGACAGCUACAUCAAAGGCCGGGCCCAGCCUGCACCUCAGCCACCAGUCUGGAGGAAAUCAGAGACCCUCAUUAAAGUUUCAGAAAAACCUAA